RNAcentral lists this long non-coding RNA (385 nucleotides) under Mytilus galloprovincialis (Mediterranean mussel). Lineage: Eukaryota; Metazoa; Mollusca; Bivalvia; Mytilida; Mytilidae. The record is from RNAcentral.
UGUAUUGUAGUUCCUGAGAAAAAUGUGAUGAAAAUUUUCAACUUGGCUAUCAUGUGUAAAAUCAUACAAGUGUUCGGUAAACAGGAAGUUGUCAAGUGAUCAAUCUGAAAACGCAUCACACGGUAUAGCUGACUUAGAUAAACCCUGAAACCAAAUUUCAGAAAUCCUUGUAAUGUAGUUCCUGAGAAAAAUGUGACGAAAAUUUUCAACUUGGCUAUCAUGUGUAAAAUCAUACAAGUGUUCGGUAAACAGGAAGUUGUCAAGUGAUCAAUCUGAAAACACAUCACACGGUAUAGCUGACUUAGAUAAACCCUGAAACCAAAUUUCAGAAAUCCUUGUAUUGUAGUUCCUGAGAAAAAUGUGACGAAAGUUUCAUGGGACGGAC